GGGUGGGUGGGCCCAAACCUCUUGAGGACACCAUAGCAAAACUCUGAAGAAUUCAGUAGGUAUUUCUACACCAAUGCUUGUUUCCAAGAGGUGCCUGAGGAUGCAUCUCCCUGCAAACCAUUUCCCAAGCAUUCCCUGCAUCUUAAUCUGAAGAACAGCUAAGGAUGUUGUCUUACGUUCCGUUCAUUUCUUACAUUACUCAAAGUCUCUGGCCAAAAGGACAAGGCUAGAGAAUUUGUUGUGAAUUCCUAAUAGGAAAUAACCCCAAACAUCAGUAAUUAGUUUAAUCCCUGCCAACCCUUUAUUCAGACUUGUUUCUAGGAGUGUUAAGUGGUAAAUUUGUCUUUGGUCACUGGGAAUAGUGGAGGAUGUCCCAACAUGGGCGAUUCUCAAUGGAAGGCAUUCUCAAAACGAGUGGCUGUGUUGCUAGUCCCAUCAGGAAGAUUCCAGCCUCACGUUUCAUUUGUUUUUAGUCAUGUUAACCUAGUUUUCUCCAACUUCUCAGCAGCUCAUGAAAAACUAUCAAUAAGGAAAUGACCAAGGAUCUACCAGUCUGGAGGAGCAGCAAGAGUCAACUGUCUGCUGCACUAGACAGAUGAGAAUUAUUGAUGUACUAAUUCUGUUAUUUGAUGGCAAGGACGACUGAGCUAAAUGGAAUUCACAUACUAUAAAACUACAUGGAAGGUCUGGUGGCGCAUGCCUACAGUCCUAGCACUCGGGAAGUAGAGACAGCACAACAAGUGUGAUACCAUCCUAGACUGUAUGUCAAGCUCAAGGUCAUCUUGGACUAUAUAGUAAGGCCCUGUUUUUUAAAAAAGAAAGUUGCAUGGAUUGGUGUGUCAACAUUAACAAUAAUAUGAUCAGAUCUCCAACACCUCUAUCAAGGGAUGUAGGACUUCCUGUACUCAGUAGACAUCUGUCAUAGAAUGCUAAUUCCUAAAAUCUAUCUCACACUUCUAGACUAUUUCUGCCACCCAGCAGAACUGAUCUCGGAACCAAGCCCCCAAGAAAUCCAGGAGACUUUUAUUCCAGCCUUGAUCUGAUGUUGUUAACCUGCUUAGCCUUUGCUAGCAGCAUUCUGUUCUGCUCUGCAGAUCUGCUGGCUAAGCGAAGAGGAAACAAACAAUCCUGAACGGUGGGCUGUGAGAAGCAGGGGACUAGGAAGGCGGCUCCGCAGCGCUGCGCCACAGGCACAACUGAGGAGCCACGAAGGUCAGUCCCUCCCUCAACUUGACUGCCAGGAUUCAGAGGUUCGUGAUGGGUACCCUGCGUUCAGGAAGCUCCCCUUAAGAAGAAACUGUAAGAUGGCGGAAAGGUACGGAUGGAGUGCUGCAGGACAACCAGGAUAGCGGCUCACCUUGUUCAAGGUGGGCCCGCACGGCCCUCAGCUGACUUUCUGUACCAAUAUCGCCGAUCACG
Long non-coding RNA from Mesocricetus auratus (golden hamster), 1419 nucleotides. RefSeq lists it as uncharacterized. The transcript is spliced from 3 exons. NCBI's taxonomy places the organism in Eukaryota, Metazoa, Chordata, Mammalia, Rodentia, Cricetidae. The record is from RefSeq and is a predicted model, not a curated record.